This 751-nucleotide ribosomal RNA is filed under the name Marmoricola sp. Its description in RNAcentral is "bacterial SSU rRNA". It matches the Rfam family "Bacterial small subunit ribosomal RNA", at positions 89 to 851 of the family's 1533-position model. The record is from RNAcentral. Lineage: Bacteria; Bacillati; Actinomycetota; Actinomycetes; Propionibacteriales; Nocardioidaceae.
ACACGAGCGGCGAACGGGUGAGUAACACGUGAGCAAUCUGCCCCCCACUCUGGGAUAACCCCCGGAAACGGGAGCUAAUACCGGAUACGACCACUUCAGACAUCUGAUGGUGGUGGAAAGUUCCGGCGGUGGGGGAUGAGCUCGCGGCCUAUCAGCUUGUUGGUGGGGUAACGGCCCACCAAGGCUUCGACGGGUAGCCGGCCUGAGAGGGUGACCGGCCACACUGGGACUGAGACACGGCCCAGACUCCUACGGGAGGCAGCAGUGGGGAAUAUUGGACAAUGGGCGAAAGCCUGAUCCAGCAACGCCGCGUGAGGGAUGACGGCCUUCGGGUUGUAAACCUCUUUCAGCGCAGACGAAGCGAAAGUGACGGUAUGCGCAGAAGAAGCACCGGCCAACUACGUGCCAGCAGCCGCGGUAAUACGUAGGGUGCGAGCGUUGUCCGGAAUUAUUGGGCGUAAAGGGCUCGUAGGCGGUUUGUCACGUCGGGAGUGAAAACUCGGGGCUCAACCCCGAGCCUGCUUCCGAUACGGGCAGACUAGAGGUAUGCAGGGGAGAACGGAAUUCCUGGUGUAGCGGUGAAAUGCGCAGAUAUCAGGAGGAACACCGGUGGCGAAGGCGGUUCUCUGGGCAUUACCUGACGCUGAGGAGCGAAAGUGUGGGGAGCGAACAGGAUUAGAUACCCUGGUAGUCCACACCGUAAACGUUGGGCGCUAGGUGUGGGACUCAUUCCACGAGUUCCGUGCCGCAG